RNAcentral lists this transfer RNA (68 nucleotides) under Marmota monax (woodchuck). RNAcentral describes it as "tRNA.Ala". Lineage: Eukaryota; Metazoa; Chordata; Mammalia; Rodentia; Sciuridae. The record is from RNAcentral.
GGAUUGUGGCUCAGUGGUUGAGCGCUUGCCUUGCACAUGAGAGACCGUGGGUUCGAUCCUCAGCACCA